This 1362-nucleotide ribosomal RNA is filed under the name Thermococcus sp. AMT7. RNAcentral's name for it is "bacterial SSU rRNA". It matches the Rfam family "Archaeal small subunit ribosomal RNA". The record is from RNAcentral. Lineage: Archaea; Methanobacteriati; Methanobacteriota; Thermococci; Thermococcales; Thermococcaceae.
GCCAUGCGAGUCAUGGGGCGCGCUCUGCGCGCACCGGCGGACGGCUCAGUAACACGUCGGUAACCUACCCUCGGGAGGGGGAUAACCCCGGGAAACUGGGGCUAAUCCCCCAUAGGCCUGGGGUACUGGAAGGUCCCCAGGCCGAAAGGGCGUAAGCCGCCCGAGGAUGGGCCGGCGGCCGAUUAGGUAGUUGGUGGGGUAACGGCCCACCAAGCCGAAGAUCGGUACGGGCCAUGAGAGUGGGAGCCCGGAGAUGGACACUGAGACACGGGUCCAGGCCCUACGGGGCGCAGCAGGCGCGAAACCUCCGCAAUGCGGGCAACCGCGACGGGGGGACCCCCAGUGCCGUGGCACAGCCACGGCUUUUCCGGAGUGUAAAAAGCUCCGGGAAUAAGGGCUGGGCAAGGCCGGUGGCAGCCGCCGCGGUAAUACCGGCGGCCCAAGUGGUGGCCGCUAUUAUUGGGCCUAAAGCGUCCGUAGCCGGGCCCGUAAGUCCCUGGCGAAAUCCCACGGCUCAACCGUGGGGCUUGCUGGGGAUACUGCGGGCCUUGGGACCGGGAGAGGCCGGGGGUACCCCUGGGGUAGGGGUGAAAUCCUGUAAUCCCAGGGGGACCGCCAGUGGCGAAGGCGCCCGGCUGGAACGGGUCCGACGGUGAGGGACGAAGGCCAGGGGAGCGAACCGGAUUAGAUACCCGGGUAGUCCUGGCUGUAAAGGAUGCGGGCUAGGUGUCGGGCGAGCUUCGAGCUCGCCCGGUGCCGAAGGGAAGCCGUUAAGCCCGCCGCCUGGGGAGUACGGCCGCAAGGCUGAAACUUAAAGGAAUUGGCGGGGGAGCACUACAAGGGGUGGAGCGUGCGGUUUAAUUGGAUUCAACGCCGGGAACCUCACCGGGGGCGACGGCAGGAUGAAGGCCAGGCUGAAGGUCUUGCCGGACGCGCCGAGAGGAGGUGCAUGGCCGCCGUCAGCUCGUACCGUGAGGCGUCCACUUAAGUGUGGUAACGAGCGAGACCCGCGCCCCCAGUUGCCAGUCCUCCCCGCUGGGGAGGAGGCACUCUGGGGGGACCGCCGGCGAUAAGCCGGAGGAAGGAGCGGGCGACGGUAGGUCAGUAUGCCCCGAAACCCCCGGGCUACACGCGCGCUACAAUGGGCGGGACAAUGGGAUCCGACCCCGAAAGGGGAAGGGAAUCCCCUAAACCCGCCCUCAGUUCGGAUCGCGGGCUGCAACUCGCCCGCGUGAAGCUGGAAUCCCUAGUACCCGCGUGUCAUCAUCGCGCGGCGAAUACGUCCCUGCUCCUUGCACACACCGCCCGUCACUCCACCCGAGCGGGGUCCGGGUGAGGCCUGGUCUCCCUUCGGGGAGGCCG